Molecule: ribosomal RNA, 253 nt
Filed under: uncultured bacterium
Lineage: Bacteria
Description: partial 16S ribosomal RNA
Rfam family: Bacterial small subunit ribosomal RNA
Source: RNAcentral
UACGUAGGGUGCAAGCGUUAAUCGGAAUUACUGGGCGUAAAGCGUGCGCAGGCGGCCUAUUAAGUCAGAUGUGAAAUCCCCGAGCUCAACUUGGGAACUGCAUUUGAAACUGAUAGGCUAGAGUGUGUCAGAGGGAGGUAGAAUUCCACGUGUAGCAGUGAAAUGCGUAGAUAUGUGGAGGAAUACCAGUGGCGAAGGCGGCCUCCUGGGAUAACACUGACGCUCAUGUACGAAAGCGUGGGGAGCAAACAGG